CCUACGGGUGGCAGCAGUAGGGAAUCUUCCACAAUGGGGGAGACCCUGAUGCAGCGACGCCGCGUGAGGGAAGAAGUAUCUCGGUACGUAAAGCUCUAUCAGCAGGGAAGAAAAUGACGGUACCUGACUAAGAAGGUCCGUCUAACUACGUGCCAGCAGCCGCGGUAAUAGGUAGGGGGCAAGCGUUAUCCGGAUUUACUGGGUGUAAAGGGAGCGUAGACGGCAGCACAAGUCUGGAGUGAAAUCCCGGGGCUUAACCCCGGAACUGCUUUGGAAACUGGGCGGCUGGAGUGCAGGAGGGGUAGGCGGAAUUCCUAGUGUAGCGGUGAAAUGCGUAGAUAUUAGGAGGAACACCGGUGGCGAAGGCGGCUUACUGGACUGUAACUGACGUUGAGGCUCGAAAGCGUGGGGAGCAAACAGGAUUAGAUACCCUUGUAGUC
Molecule: ribosomal RNA, 440 nt
Filed under: uncultured bacterium
Lineage: Bacteria
Description: partial 16S ribosomal RNA
Rfam family: Bacterial small subunit ribosomal RNA
Source: RNAcentral